UAAGUAAACCGUACGGUAGAGACUACGCGUCCUUACAGGGAGGGAGUACAGUUGGAAACGACUGCUAAUACCGCAUAACGCUGCGAUGGGGCAUCCCGAUGCAGCCAAAGGAGCAAUCCGCUGGAAGAUGGGCUCGCGGCCGAUUAGCUAGUUGGUGGGGUAACGGCCCACCAAGGCGACGAUCGGUAGCCGGACUGAGAGGUUGAUCGGCCACAUUGGGACUGAGACACGGCCCAGACUCCUACGGAAGGCAGCAG
Molecule: ribosomal RNA, 257 nt
Filed under: uncultured bacterium
Lineage: Bacteria
Description: partial 16S ribosomal RNA
Rfam family: Bacterial small subunit ribosomal RNA
Source: RNAcentral